UGCAGAAUCCCGUGAACCAUCGAGUUUUUGAACGCAAGUUGCGCCCGAAGCCAUUUGGUUAAGGGCACGUCUGCCUGGGCGUCACGC
RNAcentral lists this ribosomal RNA (87 nucleotides) under Rudbeckia scabrifolia. RNAcentral describes it as "partial 5.8S ribosomal RNA". It matches the Rfam family "5.8S ribosomal RNA", at positions 73 to 154 of the family's 154-position model. Rfam says of the family: 5.8S ribosomal RNA (5.8S rRNA) is a component of the large subunit of the eukaryotic ribosome. Lineage: Eukaryota; Viridiplantae; Streptophyta; Magnoliopsida; Asterales; Asteraceae. The record is from RNAcentral.